This 521-nucleotide ribosomal RNA is filed under the name uncultured bacterium. RNAcentral describes it as "bacterial SSU rRNA". It matches the Rfam family "Bacterial small subunit ribosomal RNA", at positions 8 to 525 of the family's 1533-position model. The record is from RNAcentral.
AGAGUUUGAUCCUGGCUCAGAUUGAACGCUGGCGGCAUGCCUUACACAUGCAAGUCGAACGGUAACAGGUCUUCGGAUGCUGACGAGUGGCGAACGGGUGAGUAAUACAUCGGAACGUGCCCGAUCGUGGGGGAUAACGAAGCGAAAGCUUUGCUAAUACCGCAUACGAUCUACGGAUGAAAGCAGGGGACCGCAAGGCCUUGCGCGAACGGAGCGGCCGAUGGCAGAUUAGGUAGUUGGUGGGAUAAAAGCUUACCAAGCCGACGAUCUGUAGCUGGUCUGAGAGGAUGAUCAGCCACACUGGAACUGAAACACGGUCCAGACUCCUACGGGAGGCAGCAGUGGGGAAUAUUGCGCAAUGGGCGAAAGCCUGACGCAGCAACGCCGUGUGAGGGAUGAAGGCUUUCGGGUCGUAAACCUCUGUCGGAAGGGAAGAACGGGCAUUGGUCUAAUAGGCCUUUGUUUUGACGGUACCUUUAGAGGAAGCACCGGCUAACUCCGUGCCAGCAGCCGCGGUAAUA